UGUAUCCUACGGGAGGCAGCAGUGAGGAAUAUUGGUCAAUGGUCGGGAGACUGAACCAGCCAAGCCGCGUGAGGGAUGAAGGCACAGAGUAUCGUAAACCUCUUUUGUCAGGGAACAAAGGCGGGGACGUGUCCCCGGAUGAGCGUACCUGAAGAAAAAGCAUCGGCUAACUCCGUGCCAGCAGCCGCGGUAAUACGGAGGAUGCGAGCGUUAUCCGGAUUUAUUGGGGUUAAAGGGUGCGCAGGCGGUCUGUUAAGUCAGCGGUCAAAGCCCGGGGCUCAACCCCGGCCC
This 291-nucleotide ribosomal RNA is filed under the name uncultured bacterium. RNAcentral's name for it is "partial 16S ribosomal RNA". It matches the Rfam family "Bacterial small subunit ribosomal RNA", at positions 333 to 621 of the family's 1533-position model. The record is from RNAcentral.